ACUUUUAAAGGAAAGAAGAUAUCCAA
Molecule: transfer RNA, 26 nt
Filed under: Pseudotrapelus sinaitus (Sinai agama)
Lineage: Eukaryota; Metazoa; Chordata; Lepidosauria; Squamata; Agamidae
Also listed under: 1 other name
Description: partial tRNA-Leu
Source: RNAcentral